Molecule: microRNA precursor, 82 nt
Filed under: Tetraodon nigroviridis (spotted green pufferfish)
Lineage: Eukaryota; Metazoa; Chordata; Actinopteri; Tetraodontiformes; Tetraodontidae
Description: miRNA (ENSTNIG00000020274.1)
Source: RNAcentral
UUAAUAUAUUUUAUGUAUGUAUAUAUAUAUAUAUAUAUAUAUGUAUAUACAUACACACACACACACACAGUAUGCAUUUAUG